Molecule: long non-coding RNA, 344 nt
Organism: Piliocolobus tephrosceles (Ugandan red Colobus)
Lineage: Eukaryota; Metazoa; Chordata; Mammalia; Primates; Cercopithecidae
Exons: 3
Source: RefSeq, a predicted model, not a curated record
UGCUCCUCAAGGCUAUAACAAAUUCAGUGGUCUUCCUCUAAAUGCCUCUGGCAGUGACUCUGAUCUCUACUUCACACAAGGGGACAACAGAAUAGGAGAAAAAUACUGGAAGGUUCGGUAUACUGAAUUUGUUGAUGCAACUUUCACUAAAAGAAAGAGACUGUCUGCUGCAGAAGCCCAUCUUGGAAUUCUUGGCCCAGUCAUCAAGGCAGAGGUGGGUGAUACCCUGUUAGUGACCUUUGCCAACAAAGCUGACAAGGUCUAUAGCAUUUUGCCCCACAGCGUGAUCUAUGACAAGGCAUGUGAUGCAGCCCCAAACCUAGAUGGUAAGUCUCACUCUGGAC